GUGUCAGCCGCCGCGGUAAUACGAAGGGUGCGAGCGUUAAUCGGAAUUACUGGGCGUAAAGCGCGCGUAGGUGGUAAGUUAAGUUGGAAGUGAAAGCCCGGGGCUCUUCCUGGGAAUUGCUUUCAAAACUGACAGGCUAGAGUACGGUAGACCGUAGUGGAAAUUCCUGUGUAGCGGUGAAAUGCGUAGAUAUAGGAAGGAUCAUCAGUGGCGAUGGCGACUACCUGGACUGAUACUGACACUGAGGUGCGAAAGCGUGGGGAGCAAACAGGAUUAGAUACCCCCGUAGUCC
Molecule: ribosomal RNA, 292 nt
Filed under: uncultured prokaryote
Description: partial 16S ribosomal RNA
Rfam family: Bacterial small subunit ribosomal RNA
Source: RNAcentral